UACGUAGGGGGCAAGCGUUGUCCGGAAUCAUUGGGCGUAAAGAGCGUGUAGGCGGCCCGAUAAGUCCGCCGUGAAAGUCCAGGGCUCAACCCUGGAAUGCCGGUGGAAACUGUCGGGCUGGAGUCCGGAAGAGGCGAGUGGAAUUCCUGGUGUAGCGGUGAAAUGCGCAGAUAUCAGGAGGAACACCGAUGGCGAAGGCAGGUCACUGGGCCGCAACUGACGCUGAGGAGCGAAAGCAUGGGGAGCGAACAGG
This 253-nucleotide ribosomal RNA is filed under the name uncultured bacterium. RNAcentral describes it as "partial 16S ribosomal RNA". It matches the Rfam family "Bacterial small subunit ribosomal RNA", at positions 524 to 776 of the family's 1533-position model. The record is from RNAcentral.